UUUUCAGUUUACUCUUUCCGAGCUGUACUAACCGACCUGCGAGCUCACUUUCGGUUUACUUUAUCCAAGCGAGACUAACCGACCUGCGAGCUCUGUCUUUAAUCAAUGGGUCGAGCUCUGAGUUCCACUAGCCAACUGAGCUUUCGGUUUACUUUUUCCGAGCUGGGCUAACUGACUUGUGAGCCCUGCUUUUAAUCAAUGAGUUGAGCUUCUGACCCAUAACUUUGUAUGAUUCCGCGGCGUCCUUAUCGCUUCGUUCUGGGCUCGUAGCCUCUGUUUAAUGAUGAUGAGUCAAAUCCUGUACCUUUUUAAGUGAUAAGCAAGUCCGACCUUUAUCAUGCUUCCCCCUGUUUGUCUCCUUGGAUCUUUCUAUGACUUGCUCUUUUUCCUUAGUUUUUGCUGCCUGAGUGGCGAUGAUGUGCAUUUUGCAUGUCAGGUCGUCCUGAGCGAGAGAUUCAAUUGGAGCUCGGUCUCAAGGUUUUGACAAUUUGGGUUUGUUUUAUGUAGAUAGCGUGUGGGCCUUCGGCUGAUGGGCUAUUGCCGUGGGCCUGGCCCUUUGUAGGGGUGGAGAAGCCCAGCGGUCAUCUCUUUGCCCCUUUACCUUCUCGCCGGUUAUUAUCUAACCGUUGAGAGGGUAAACUUCGAGAGUAAUUAGUGAUCGCGCCGCUCCAAGACAAAACUGCUCAGAACAACGUUUCAUCUCAUUAUUG
This 710-nucleotide long non-coding RNA is filed under the name Manihot esculenta (cassava). Its description in RNAcentral is "long non-coding RNA (MESC_LNC009764)". The record is from RNAcentral. Lineage: Eukaryota; Viridiplantae; Streptophyta; Magnoliopsida; Malpighiales; Euphorbiaceae.